This 320-nucleotide ribosomal RNA is filed under the name uncultured bacterium. Its description in RNAcentral is "bacterial SSU rRNA". It matches the Rfam family "Bacterial small subunit ribosomal RNA", at positions 470 to 789 of the family's 1533-position model. The record is from RNAcentral.
UGAUGGUAGCCAAGAAGGAAGCCCCGGCUAACUACGUGCCAGCAGCCGCGGUAAUACGUAGGGGGCAAGCGUUGUCCGGAAUGAUUGGGCGUAAAGGGCGCGUAGGCGGCUUUCUAAGUCUGAAGUGAAAGUCCUGCUUUUAAGGUGGGAACUGCUUUGGAUACUGGAGAGCUUGAGUGCAGGAGAGGUAAGCGGAAUUCCCGGUGUAGCGGUGAAAUGCGUAGAGAUCGGGAGGAACACCAGUGGCGAAGGCGGCUUACUGGACUGUAACUGACGCUGAGGCGCGAAAGUGUGGGGAGCAAACAGGAUUAGAUACCCUG